GCCUGGCUAGCUCAGUCGGUAGAGCAUGAGACUCUUAAUCUCAGGGUCGUAGGUUCGAGUCUCACGUAUGGCG
Schistosoma mansoni is the source of this 73-nucleotide transfer RNA. It matches the Rfam family "tRNA". From Rfam's summary of the family: Transfer RNA (tRNA) molecules are approximately 80 nucleotides in length. Their secondary structure includes four short double-helical elements and three loops (D, anti-codon, and T loops). NCBI's taxonomy places the organism in Eukaryota, Metazoa, Platyhelminthes, Trematoda, Strigeidida, Schistosomatidae. The record is from Rfam.